GACGAACGCUGGCGGCGUGCUUAACACAUGCAAGUCGAACGGAAAGGCCCUGCAUGUGUGGGGUGCUCGAGUGGCGAACGGGUGAGUAACACGUGAGUAACCUGCCCUUUACUUUGGGAUAACUUCAGGAAACUGGGGCUAAUACCGGAUAGGAGCUCCUGCUGCAUGGUGGGGGGUGGAAAGUUUCGGCGGAUGGGGAUGGACGCGCGGCUUCUCAGUGUGUUGGUGGGGAAGUGGCUCAGCAAGGCGUUGACGGGUAGCCGGACUGAGACGGUGACCCGGCCCAGAGGGAUACAGGAGGCAGCAGGAGUCAUACGGCGGGAAUGGAUGCGAGAUAGUGCACGCUGGGCGGCAGCAGUGUGCAGCGACGCCGCGUGCUAGAUCACGGCUGUCAGGGUGUAACACGCAUUCGCGUGGGACGAAGAGUGAGUGACGGUAAUGGGUAAAGAAGCACCGGCUAACUACGUG
This 468-nucleotide ribosomal RNA is filed under the name uncultured bacterium. RNAcentral describes it as "partial 16S ribosomal RNA". It matches the Rfam family "Bacterial small subunit ribosomal RNA", at positions 28 to 507 of the family's 1533-position model. The record is from RNAcentral.